Non-coding RNA from Microcebus murinus (gray mouse lemur), 964 nucleotides. The record is from the annotation of a RefSeq genome assembly. Lineage: Eukaryota; Metazoa; Chordata; Mammalia; Primates; Cheirogaleidae.
UGAGGACUCCUUACACAGUGGGGUGAAUUGUGAGUCCUAUUCCCACCAAGGAGGUCCAAAAAGAAAACUAAACACUGAGACAAUGCAGGGGCCAUAGGAAGGCAUCCGUCCAUCAGUGAUGUCCCCCUGUGGACACUAGAGGGCGAUGUGGAUCAGGCCCUGGGAGAACAGGAGAUAGCUGGGAAAUGGUCCUCCAAGCCUGGGUCCCAUAUACAUGUGGUGACUGGUGUGUAAAACCCAACAACCGUGACCUGGGCGAGUUGCUGAGUCCCCCUGGGAGGGGGGAUCAUUUGCAUGAAAGCCUUGCCCAGCCCCCAGGGUGUCAGGAGUUAUAGUGAGAGCCUUGGGGGCUGACCCUGAGGGGAACAGUCUAGAACAGCACAGCACUGAGCUGUCUACACCAUGGCCUGGGCUCCUCUCCUGCUCACACUGCUGGCUCAAUUCGCAGGAGCCACGUCCCAGGAGGUGGUGACUCAGGAAACUUCCCUGUUAACAACUCCUGGAGGGACAGUCACACUCACCUGUGGCUCCAGCACUGGGGCUGUCACCACCAGCAACUAUGCCAACUGGGUCCAACAGGGGUCCAACGAGGUACCCCGUGGUCUAAUAUAUGGUACCAGCAACCGAUACCCAGGGGUCCCUGCCCGAUUCUCAGGCUCCCUGCUUGGAGACAAGGCUGCCCUCACCAUCACAGGGGCCCAGGCUGAGGACGAGGCCGAGUAUUACUGCGCUCUGUGGUUCAGCAACCAUUUCCACAGUGACAGAUGCACAUGGGGAAGUGAGACAAAAACAGCCUGGCUCAGUCUCCCCCUGUGCUCCUAAUAUCUGCGUCUUCUUCACACAGAGGUGCAAGUGGCCAGUGUGAGUUCAGGAAGCUUGUUCUCCAGGGACCCAGAGAAGAUGAUCAAAUAUAUUGUUCUAAGCUCCAAAAUGUUUUAUUUUUAACACCAAUUUUAUGAUAACA